Molecule: long non-coding RNA, 497 nt
Filed under: Nicotiana benthamiana
Lineage: Eukaryota; Viridiplantae; Streptophyta; Magnoliopsida; Solanales; Solanaceae
Description: long non-coding RNA (NBEN_LNC040951)
Source: RNAcentral
AUCUAGCCUAAGGAAUUUGCUAUCCGCGCUUUUUUUUCGAUCGUGUACCUUAGUACACUGAACACUUACAUAAUCUUGAAUCUUGAAAGUAGAGUCUCUUUUUCAAUCAACUGGCAUACCUUGAACCUAGCCCGAAAUUCUUUCUUUACUUUAUCUUAUCAAAUUUCUAGUUUGUGAUCGAGGGCGGCCAAAUAUGAGAUAGGUUGCAGCUAUAGUCAGAACUGAACCUGGCUAAUUUCGUAAUGUUGACCCCACGGAGCGGUAGCGAAGGAGACAGCAAAUGGAUGGAAAUUCUCCACUUUAUGGCUGCCGCCGCUUCUAUCUCCGGCGCUCUGAAUAUCGGGUAUGAUUGUUACUUUCUUGCCUUGCCCCACUCCCACCCACCUCUUCCGAAAAGACAACCUCGAUCAUUCAUUACAUAUGAUAUAUCGAGAGUUCAAGACCAUAACGUAAUUCAUUUAGAGAAUGCCGAUGAGAAAGUAGAUCUGGUUCCGAGA